CUUAUCAAGAGUGGCGGAGGGACCGGCCCUGUGAAGCCCGGCAACCUGCUUAUGCAAGGUGCCAAAUCCGGCGAGUAAUCGGCAGAUGAG
RNAcentral lists this non-coding RNA (90 nucleotides) under bovine gut metagenome. Its description in RNAcentral is "SAM riboswitch (S box leader)". It matches the Rfam family "SAM riboswitch aptamer (S box leader)". From Rfam's summary of the family: The SAM riboswitch is found upstream of a number of genes which code for proteins involved in methionine or cysteine biosynthesis in Gram-positive bacteria. The SAM riboswitch acts at the level of transcription termination control. The record is from RNAcentral.